RNAcentral lists this long non-coding RNA (483 nucleotides) under Panax ginseng (ginseng). RNAcentral's name for it is "long non-coding RNA (PGIN_LNC014961)". The record is from RNAcentral. Lineage: Eukaryota; Viridiplantae; Streptophyta; Magnoliopsida; Apiales; Araliaceae.
UUUAAAAAACUUACAAUCAUCCAUACAUAUCCAAACCACCAAAAACAACAUCAUUCCAUACUCAAAAUCAUCAUAACCAUGUAUAAUUACCCAACUUUACAAAAGACGGAGAACAAAAAUACAUAUAUACAAAAAAUAGAGAAACAACAUGUUGAGCACCACCCUUUACUUUACAUCUUACACCAAAUAUAUUAUUUACAGCUUACACUAAGUAUCCUUCAAUAUAUACACGAAAAUACAUAUAAUAACAUUUACCUUGUAGAUCUGUCAAGCUCUACCAUGUCUUCGGUACAUAAACCUUUGAAAAGAAAGGCUAUCCAUCGGCAACGUCCACGGCCAACAAAUAUUGUUUGUAACAAAAAUCUGUUAUUUAUAAGAGAAAGCAAAAUGUUAGUAGUAUCGCAAGAACGAAACAAUUGACACGUGAUUACUUGAAUACGAUUUAAGAAUUAUAAAAUACACAUAACCCUGUUAACUUUUCUC